Xiphias gladius (swordfish) is the source of this 1778-nucleotide long non-coding RNA. RefSeq lists it as uncharacterized. NCBI's taxonomy places the organism in Eukaryota, Metazoa, Chordata, Actinopteri, Istiophoriformes, Xiphiidae. The record is from RefSeq and is a predicted model, not a curated record. The transcript has 3 exons.
UUGCUGUGGAAAACACAACCAGUGAAAGUACAUGGCUGAGGCACAGAGUAGAGCCCGGCAAUAUCUAUUGGAACGAUGCAAAAAUAAAUUACAGUGGCUGUGUCGCUAUAGAGCCCAUAUAGUAAUAAAACACACUUCCUUAUUAUUUGCCAAACAGCAUGAAUGUGCAGGCCGGCUGCCAGCUCUGCAGAAUUUUCAGGUAAUAGAAAGGCUAAAGCUAGAGUAUGCACGACUCAGGGGUGGCGUUGCAUGAAGAUUCUCGGAAUCUGGAGGCUUUGAUGCAUUUUGGUUGUGUUUGGUCGAGAGGGUCAGUGAAGACACACUGACCUUUUCCCUCAUGGCUCGAAUGUGACGCAGCUGCCAACACUCGACGACCAGCCAAGGCAACUGGAGACAGAGACAUCUGCCGAGGACAAAAGGGAGGAAAGACACUUUUUUUUUUAAAUAAACAUUUGCACUCUGAGGAAUAGAUACAGUUGUAAACGUCACAGCUAAAGACACAUACUAACGUGUUCAAAGUGAUAAGAUAGUGAGAAUAAAAAGUAUAAUGACUCAAGUUCAUGCUUAUGUAUUUUCAUGUAAAGGGGGCCUUCAUAAGAUUUGUACUAACAACAGAUCAAUGCUAAAACAAUAAAAUGUGAACUGAAGAGAACUACAAUGCACUAAUUCCACUAUAUCUGUGUCCAGGGUCGAGGCCCACUAGUGCUGCUGCAUAUGAAGAGUGCUGAUAACGCUCCUCUAGCUAAAAUAGAAGAAAGUCAGAUUCGGGCUGCAGUGCAAACAGCAGCCGGAGCCAGCGGUGAUGUCAGCCAGUCAAGCAGGCAGCCAGUCUGAACGUCUAGCACUGCUGUUAUUGUGGGCAGAUGUGAAAGGCCAUCUCCGUUUGAGGGCUGCUGGCAGAUGGAUAUGCGGAGGAUGAUGGGCAGCCACAUGCAGGAUGAACUGAUUCAACAGGUUUUCCACCUGAACCUGACGGGGAGCAGCGCUUCCAUCAGUGGGAGCGGAGUUCACAAACACACACACACACACACACACACACACACACACACACACACACACACGGCAGCUGGAAGAAACCCUGUAGACUCAACACAGCAAAGUGCACAGGACAGACACACGGACUGAUGUGUUAAUAAAUAGGUGGGUAAUCAUAAAGUAAAUACACAUUUGUAUUUUUCAAUAGUAUUAUCCUUUUUCUGAAUCUGUCUUCUUGUGAUCAGUUUGACAGCACUUAUACAUAUUUUAAGUUUACGGGAAUAAGGGAUUUAAAUCAUCCUUAAAUGUAGGAAAACUGUGCAACUUUUGCAAAUAAAAAGAUGUGUAAACUGAAAUUAGGUGAUUUUACCCUCCACAGCAUCCCUUAACACCCACACAUCCCUGUCUGUAUAUGCUUGAUGCCAAGAGAAACACAACUGUGGAUUGUGUGCAGUGCAGUAUGCGUGUGUGAUGUUGAACAGGGGCGAAAGCAGCCGGUGCCAGCUGUAACAGUCUGUCCCGUCUUUUCCCUUGUAAAACUGCGUGGCUCUCGCUUUUCUGGGCACCUGCCAUAUUCCUGCGUUCACUUCAGAGGAGCUCACAUCUAAGCGCUGUAUUGAAUUUACACUGUUUUUGGACAGGGAUGUCAUGGCAACCACUCUUCUGGUGCUAAUGAUGCAGAGGCUUUCAGGAGGAUACAGUUAGUUUUUUGAAAAUCCAAAACUGGACCUAAAACAUGGUUUCAAGUCACUAGAAUUGUAACUUUUUGUAUUUGUAUUUGUUCGCAAGUUCUGAAAAUGAAA